UACGGAGGGUGCGAGCGUUAAUCGGAAUAACUGGGCGUAAAGGGCACGCAGGCGGGCUUUUAAGUGAGAUGUGAAAUCCCCGGGCUUAGCCUAGGAAUAGCAUUUCAGACUGGGAGUCUAGAGUGCUUUAGGGAGGGGUAGAAUUCCACGUGUAGCGGUGAAAUGCGUAGAUAUGUGGAGGAAUACCGAAGGCGAAGGCGGCCCCUUGGGAAUGUACUGACACUCAUGUGCGAAAGCGUGGGGAGCAAACAGG
This 253-nucleotide ribosomal RNA is filed under the name uncultured bacterium. RNAcentral's name for it is "partial 16S ribosomal RNA". It matches the Rfam family "Bacterial small subunit ribosomal RNA", at positions 524 to 776 of the family's 1533-position model. The record is from RNAcentral.